UGGUGGAGUGAUUUGUCUGGUUAAUUCCGAUAACGAACGAGACUCUGUCCUGCUAACUAGGUUGUGUUUUCUCGGGUUGGUGAUCUGGUGUUCCUUCUCGGGGCGCCGGCCCAAUCCACUUGUGAACACAACACUCUUCUUAGAGGGACUGGCGGCUGUUAGCCGCACGAGAUAGAGCAAUAACA
This 185-nucleotide ribosomal RNA is filed under the name uncultured eukaryote. RNAcentral describes it as "partial 18S ribosomal RNA". It matches the Rfam family "Eukaryotic small subunit ribosomal RNA", at positions 1299 to 1458 of the family's 1831-position model. The record is from RNAcentral.